CUCUGUGUUCUCUUAUGUCUGUGUCGUCAACAUUUGAACAUUUUUGAGCGGUCCGCUCUUUCUGACUGUAAACAAAGCCGUUCUCCACCUCCUCUAACCUGAUUGGUUGUGAGGCAGACGCUGCUCCCCUGUGUCGUUCAGGAGCCCAAACAAAGUUAGCGUGCUACAAUAUCGGACAGUAGAAACCAACCAGAAAGUUCGGAAAAUUGUCUGAAUCCUCCUUUGGCCACGACUGCCGACACAAGCAAGAAAACAAAGUAAAUACCGGAGACUCUGGAGGAAUAACGGGCGCUUAAAAUGGAGGUAGACCGGACAAGAGCUAAAAAGCCGGCUCAACAUAAACCAUGGGGGACGCUUGGGGAUCUUGGUGACCCUGUAACGUUUCUGCUGGACAGGUAAACCGCUUUAACAAAGUAAGACAAGUGUCUGUAACAGAAGUGUUUCUUGUCAAACGGACCUGCUGUAGCGUGUUGUAGCGCCAUCGCUAAACUGUCCUCCCUCGGGUCCUGGACUAUGUCACUUUAUCCUAGUUGUAGAAGUCCUGCAAACAUUGUGUUUGCUGGUAGUCUGUUGGCAUCUACAGUAGCACCAAUGCUUUUGACUUUCACCUUGACUGGGCCCCAUUUGUAAUGAUCUGAAGUAUUUAUCUGCAUUAUAUCUGAAUUUAACUGGAACGAUACGAGCGAGCAGGAGCGUCUGUUUGUGGGCGGGGCUUGAGGGGAGAGGAGGAGCUGAGGGGAAAACUGGUUUGGAGGGGUAGAGUUUAUAUCAAGAUUUCUCCCAAAAACUGGAACUUCCUCAGAUCCUGACUACACCACCUUUAACUGGUAUAUAACGGUUGAUCUUGUGCAGAAGUUUCAGUCCAAUAAAAGGUUUGCAAUUGAGUCACACUGACUCACAAAUACACACCCAUGCAACACACACAACCCCUGCAUGUGUCUCUGACUCCAGUGUGUAAUUGGAAGGGCGCGGAGGUGGCGAUGCUCAAUUAGCCCGGUUGGUCUCUGUUUGUGAGGGUGAAUUGACUGACCACAAGUCAUCUGGAGGAAGACCGAGACCCCAUCACGACUUUGACACCGAUCUCCUCCCUCAUUUCUGAGCUGUAAUCAGACUCAGCCGGUUUCAGUUUUAAUUGGAGGACAACAUUUAUUUCCACAUAUGAAAGUAACGAAGAGGGUACACUGGUUGUUUCCAAGUUUGAUGAUGAGGAAGGUUUAAUCAGUGCGAAGACCUGAAACACACUUGGAUUUACGACAUGAAACAGACCCUGCAAAAAGCCUUUAAACGAACCAGAUAAGCCACCCUGAGCAAGAACUGGAGUUACAGAAAACAAGAUCAGAGUUUUGAUUUCAACAGCGAUAAAAGAGAGAGGGGAGACUGGGCAGUCUAGAGGCCAGGCCAGGUCAAAUAUUACAGAUAUAACCUCAGAAACAGAUAAAUGUCCCCAUAAAGUAAAUGAUCUGACAUGUUCUCCUCGAAUAAACUUGAGUGAAAUAAUUAUGAGACCUUAAACAUGAAGCUUGAUUAAAUGUUAUCCUCAGAAAACCUUUGAAAAUUCGUUCAUAUUGAAGAUUUAUUGUCCUGCCAGUGAAUCCUGUGGUAUAUGACAUUAAUCCUCAGAGUAUAGACUUGUUUUUACAUAGAUGUACUAAAACAUAAACAUGCAAUCAUGUAAACAAAGUAAAAGAAUAACUGUAGAGGACCCAGGACAGAACCCUGGGGCACUCCACAAGGUCAUAUGUCCAUAUUUAACACAAACAUGAACUUCAUCUGUUAACAUUAUUGUCAACUGGACAAAAAACCAUCAGUGUCAGUGUUUCCAUCAUCCAUCAGGAAAACAGAAACUUGUUGAUCUGUUUUGUGUAAGUGGAAUUCAUCACUUUCUUUUCAAAACCUUUAAGUUUUUCCAACACCACGCUGGGACACUGCCAGGUUACAGAGAGCUAUAAAGAACAGAGACCGAGCCGGUACACGUCGACUCAAGGACAUUUUUAUAUAUAGAUGUUGGUAAAAUGUCAAGGAGAGUCUGGGACGGUUUUAUCCUCGCCCACAAAAGUGAAACACGCUUCUGUUAAAACGUCAGUGAAGAUGUUUGAUUCUGUAAAAGAAAUUUAAGAACUGAGAUACCCUCUUUAUUUUACUGUGGCACUUUUCUCUGCGACCCUGUAUCUACCUUUAUUUCUGAUCCACGUUGAAUCGUAAUGUUUCAUCCUCUCCCCAUCAUAUAAUGUCUUUAAAGUGCAGGAAUUUAGGACAGACAUUAUUUUUGUCUCGAUGAACUUUCUUUUAAAUAAAUAGAUGUUUCUUUGGGAUGGCUAAACAAGACUUUAUUAGAUUUCAUUUGGCAACAACUUGCAUGAAAAGUUUUCUGCAGCUUUAGUAAACAAACUUUUGCACAUGCACAGCAUUUGCAGAGCAUAUUUAGUUAUAAAAAUCAUUUCUGUGGUUUAAAACAAAAGGAAAAGAAAAAAAAACAGAGAAAAGUUAUCUUAAAUAAAUCAGAUGUCCCUUUAGGUUCUUCCUUUCAUGACCCAUUUGAGACUUUAGAGUCCGUGAAUGGUCACAUGAUCCACACAUGGCUUUUCCAUCAUUUCCACCCUCCUUCUUUUUUUUCCUCUUCAGGUUUUCCAUCAAUAGUUCGGGGAUGAGACUCUUAACGGUUCAUCUUUCUGGGAAGACUCUGUUUGGGGUAAAAAUUAGGAAAGGAUGAGAGAGAGAGAGAGAGAGAGAGAGAGAGAGAGAGAGAGAGAGAGAGAGAGAGAGACGGAGGACUUUGAUAUAGAAAGGUGGACUCAAACCGGAGCCCACCUCCGCUGCUCCCAUCUGGAACAGCAGAGCCGUGGCAGUAACGCACACAUGGUCAGAGUUAGGUCUCAGCAUGUCUGGAUGGUGUACAGAGCUGUGUCAUAAAGGAUUACAGUGAGCUGGAGGAGCGAUGCGCCGAGGCUGUGGGACUGUAGGUAAAAUUAUACAGGCCGAGGGGAUCCAGGAGGUCGCUUAAAAAUGUAAUUUGUCACAGACUACCAGGUUCAACUCGGUAAUCUGUAAUAUGAUACAGCACAAUGGGAUGCAGCUCCGCUCGUCCCCUCGGCUUCAUGUAAUUCAGGCGGAAUUCACCGCAGCACAGAGUGUAUCGCACAGUUAUUAGUGGAGUGCCAUCUGUCUCAAGAUACAGGAAAAACGAACUCUCACUUUGGUCAGUAUAUUUGGAAUUGACACGAGGAGACGCUCAUUUUGUCUGAAGUUUAAAUUCAGAUCCCAAGAAAGAUGUAACAGUUAGCUUUUAAGAAGCACAGAGUGUUUAGGAAAUAAGAUAAGUACAAGCAUAAACAGGAGUUAAUUUAUAAACCAGUUUGCAGUGUAGGAUAUUACACAGUGUAGCUUAAAUGUAUCAUUAUUAGCACUUUUAAAUUAUUGAAGUUUUUCCCAGUUUACAACACUUUGCACAUUUGAGUGUAAUUAUAUACAGCGGUGAGGCUAACAGCAACUUCAUGAGAAUAAGGCUGCAUUCCAGUAACCUCAGAAGUUGGAUGUCGGAGCUGGGAAUGAUGUUACAACCGAGUUGACGGCAUUCUUGUACAAACAAAUCUGAAAACCAAGAUGGACGCCUACUGUUAACCAUUGUUAGCUGUUGUUUACAAUUGUCAGCUGUCGUUGUAAACAAUGCAUAACACAGUAUUUGACUCUUACAAACACCAUAGGGCUGUGUUCACAGUUAGACAUCGGGCAGUCACACAUCGAGCUGCACUCUUGAAACUCCACCCCGCUCCUGGCCCCAUUAGCUCGUCCAUCUAAUUUGCCCGAGAUCUCACAUCGCCCAUAAUGAGAGAGGGGAGACAUGGCGUGUACCUUCUUUCCAUAAUAAGCCUCCAUUGUCUUCCUCAAUCCCCUCUGAGGUAACUAUAUGUAGAAGGGACAAAGCUGAAAUAGGAAAAAAAGGAAAAAAGUACGAAAGUGAGCAAGGGUGACUGUAACAGGCUAAAAUCUGUGUUUAAAUCUGUUUUUUGCAGCUCAAAAGCAAAAUGCAUACAAGUGCAUAUAAGAAAAUAAAGUAUAUGAACUGAUUUAUGAAACAUUGACAGUUUGAUUCACUUUCGAAAAUGAGGAAUUUUUCAUGGGAAGGGAAGUCAAUUAAUCCAACUUCCUGCGAGUGAGACACAUGCUUCAAGUUUGAGGACUGGGGGAGUCGAGUAUCACUCAGCUGUCAGUACGGAUGGGCUGAACCUGCUGGCAGCUGUCAAACACAUCCAGGCGAGCUGGCACGAGUAGAGCCGACAUCUUUUAUUCAAAAUUGGUCGCUAAGUUGAGAUGAUCUUGAAGACUUAAAAACAGGCAACUGGACUGUGUAGAGUUGAGAAGACGUUUCGCCUCUUAUCCAAGAAGCUUCUUCAGUUCUAAAAGUGCUAGUGUCAGGAGCAGAUAUUUAUCUUACUGGAGAAGGGGGACAGUUAACGACUGGGAGGAGUUGAAAAGAAUGGAUCGUAGAAACCCAUCUCUCGGUGUGUCCCCCCCAAGUCGUUAUCCUGAAAGGGUCGUUAGCGACUCCUAUCAUGUGACCACAUGACUCAUGCCACCUGAGUCAUGUGGUUCCAGGUGUGAAUGUUUGUGGAGCUUUCUGGGGAGAGAGCUGAGAACUGCAUUGUAAGUGCCAGAGAGAUUGUGCCUGAGUCCACCCCCUCUGUUCAGAGAAGGUUUCUCCAGUCUGGUAAAGAUGGCUUCUUUAACUCCUCUUUCAAACCAUCUGUCUUCUCGAGCCAACACCUGUACAUCGCUGUCCUCAAAAGAGUGACCUGUAUCCUUCAAGUGAAGGUGGACAGCUGAGUCCUGACCUGAGGAAGUGGCUCUCCUGUGUUGAGCCAUGCGCUUGUGAAGCGGUUGUUUAGUUUCCCCAAUGUACAGGUCUGAGCAUUCCUCGCUGCACUGGACAGCAUAUACCACAUUACUCUGUUUAUGUCUCGGUGUUUUGUCCUUGGGAUGGACUAGCCUCUGCCUUAGUGUGUUACCAGGCUUGAAAUGAACAGGAAUGUGGUGUUUGCCAAAGAUCCUCUUGAGUUUCUCAGACAGGCCUGCAACGUAAGGGAUUACAGUGCUCUUGCGUCUCUCCUCCCUUUCCUGUUCAGUGUUAUUUCUCUUUCUGUUCUUCACAAAGGCCCACUUAGGGUAUCCACAGGUUGUCAGGGCAUUUUUGAUGUGCUUUUGUUCCUUUUCCUUACCUUCUUUCUUCGUGGGAAUGUUCUCGGCCCGGUGGUUGAGUGUUCUGAUGACGCCCAGUUUGUGCUGCAGAGGAUGGUGGGAAUCAAAAAGUAGAUAUUGAUCCGUGUGUGUUGGUUUCCUGUACACUUCAACGUUGAGACACCCAUCUGCCUCCAAGUGUACAGCACAGUCCAAAAAGGCCAACACUUUGUCCUUGACAUCUUCACGGGUGAACUUGAUGUUGCUGUCCACUGUGUUGAUAUGGUCAGUGAAGGCCUCUACUUCAUGUGUUUUGAUCUUAACCCAGGUGUCAUCCACAUAUCUGAACCAGUGGCUAGGAGCAGCUCCCUUGAAAGAGGUUAGGGCCUUCCUCUCUACCUCUUCCAUGUACAGGUUUGCCACUAUAGGAGAAACUGGGGAGCCCAUCGCACAUCCGUGUUUCUGUCUGUAAUGGCGCUCUCUGAACUGGAAAUAGGUGGUGCUGAGGCAGAUGUCCAAUAAGGAGCAGAUGUGGUCCGGAGUUAAGUUGGUUCUGACUUCCAGUGUGCUGUCCUGUAAGAGGCGUUGUCUUACUGCUUGGACUGCCUCUGUUGUUGGAAUACUUGUGAAAAGUGAUGUGACAUCAUAGGAAACCAUGGUUUCAUCUGGGUCCAACCUGAUGUCCUUGAUUUUCUCAGCAAAGUCCUGUGAGUUUCUGACGUGGUGAGUGGUGUGGCCGACAAGAGGAGCUAGGAUGGUGGCCAAAUGUUUUGCCACUUUGUAUGUGACUGAGUUAAUGCUGCUGAUGAUAGGUCUAAGGGGCGCCCCUUCCUUGUGUAUUUUUGGUAAUCCAUAAAUGCACGGGACAGCUUCCCCUGGGUACAGUCGGUAAUAGAGUGGGCGGUCGAUAACUCCAUCCUUUUCGAGCUGUUGAAGUGCACUGAUAACUUUCUUUUUGUAGCUGUUGGUGGGAUCCCGUUUAAGAGUUUCAUAGGUGGCAGUGUCACUGAGAAGGCUUGUUACCUUGUCAUGGUAAUCCCUGGUGUUGAGUACCACAGUGCAUCUCCCCUUAUCUGCAGGCAGGAUGGUGAUGUUUUCAUCUUUUUGCAGUGAUGCCAAGGCUCUUCUUUCCUGCAUGGUCAAGUUGGAAGGAGGUGUUUUGGCAUUUGAGAGAGCAGCUGUUACCUUCAGCCUAAGUUGUUCUGCCUCCGUGACCACCAGAUUGUUGUUGCGGAUCGCUGACUCCGUGGCUGUGAUAAGGUCUACCACCGGGAUCUGUUCAGGGGUAACUGCAAAAUUAAGUCCUUUGUAAAGGACUUCCUUUUCCGGCUGAGUGAGGACCCUGUCUGACAAAUUCUUCACCCACUUUUCUUGCAUGUUGGUAUCUAUGUGGCUGUCCGUUUUGUCCCUCCAAACAAGUUCUGAUGGACUUCUUGAGUGCUUGGAGAGCAGUCUGUCAAAUUUCUGUGUUUGCCUUAUCUUGCCUUUGUUGUGUUGAGAGUUCUGAGCCUUGUCAACAAAGUUGUGAACUUUGUUGAGGAUGUCCUCUGGAAGUCGGGAUGCCAGUGUCUCCUUGGUGUGAUAUAUUUUAUCUUGUAAGGCCUAGAUGGUGAAGUUAACCUGCCUAAUCCUUUCAUUGAGGAGCUGCUUCUGUGUCCUGCAAAGGAUACUGUCUGCUCUGUGCCCUUUAACGGUGGAAAACAAGCGUAGGCUUUUGGGAACAAGUCCUUGCUGUCUGCAUCUUAGGUUGAAGCGGAGGUGGUUUCUGUAAUCCGCCAUCUUCCUGCAAGUUUUCUCGUGCUUAACUGUCCCCCUUCUCCAGUAAGAUAAAUAUCUGCUCCUGACACUAGCACUUUAAGAACUGAAGAAGCUUCUUGGAUAAGAGGCGAAACGUCUUCUCAACUCUACACAGUCCAGUUGCCUGUUUUUAAGUCUUCAAGAUAACCAUGACCUGGAUGAAUGAGAAUCUACAUGGACUAAGUUGAGAUGAGUUGGACGAGUGAAGGAAGAAACUUUAAUGCCCAGAGUGCAUAUAGAUGUGUGACCCUGCAGAGGAAGUUGUUUUACUGGUACAGAGCGACAAAGAAGUGAAUCCUGCUGGACAACUCUUAAAGUUUGAGGGUUUUUUAGGGUCUUAGAAGGAGCGUUUGAAAUGUGCUUUUGUUUGUAGUCUGGCCGUGCAGCACCUUUGUUUUCCUCUGCAGAGCUCAGAGCAACAGUAAAUUCAUGAUCAGAGUCACUACAGCGAGCUGCGAGAGAGCAGCAGUGAUUAAAGCCGGCAGGAAGCGUGCAGACCUGAGGCGGCGUUAUUACAUGUUUGUGUGUUUAUCUGGGCCUGCAGAAACACACACCAGCGCGGCUAUCCGAGUGUGUGUCUGCGGAUUCCAUGUCUGUGAGUGUCUCCGCCCUCCACACGUGUAAUCAGCCAUUUAAUCAAAGUCCAAGGUCAGACAGCACACGCGGAGAGAGUGAGGGCGCUGAGAGGCUUCGCUGGCUGAAGUUUAAGAGUCACUUUAGUGGGUCACUCACACAUCAGUGCGAGAGCGGCGGGGAUUGUUCUGCUGUUUACAGCCGCAGCCGCAUUGAUUUUCUCAUAACGGGUAACUCGUAACUGCUGUUCUCAACAGCUUGAGUAAUCAGCCGACACAUUUACAUGCCUCCGUUCAUGCUAGCCUGCAGGGGCAUUUUGUAAUCAGCAGCGACAUCCAAUCAGAGAAGAACACAUGGCGUUUCAAAUGACCACGUAUGAAAAAUGGCGUGGUGUUAAUACACAUUCAUGGAGCUGAUUUACUCUCUCCUUUUUUUAAGGGACACAUGAGGAGUCUCUCUGACCUUCCAGAUUUAUUUUGCGCUGGUUUCCUUCAGUGCAAAAUAAAGCCAAGAUUUGACAGAUCCCUUCCCCUCUUUGGGUUCAGGAUCCCUCAUGGACCCUCCUAGGAAGUUGUAAAUCUCACCUGGAGAGAAAUGAAUGAAACACAACAUUGUCCUCAUUUCUCACAGAUGCAAGAGGAACGCUGUACCCUUAAAAUUCACAUGAAGUUCCUCUGGAGCUGAUCCGGGUCUGGUUUAGUCCAUGUUCAUGUAUCAGUAGCUGCGUUUAUAUAAGGACAAAUAAUCAGAAUAAAAAUGCAUGAUGUAAACGUGUCGAUCGGAAGAUUCUGAUCCACUUCAGCUCAAUCAGAAAGAAACUGUAUUCCUACAGAGAGGGGUUACAAUAUUAACACUCUGGUGUAAAGCACAACCGAAGCUCCUCUGCUCCUCUGAUAACAUAACAAGGCGUACAAACAGCGUGAUGAUGUCACAUCUGCACGCACAAAGCAACCUUUGACAGAACAGUAAAAUAAGUACACAAGAGCGCCAUCUAUUAACAACAUUUAACAGAGGGAAAACUCCUGAAUUGGAUGAAGUGAGCCACUACUGCGUUUGUUGGUUUGUUGACAGCACAGGUGUAAAUACAACUCUUCUUCUUCUUCUGCGGUUGUUUUAGCGAAAUCAGACAACUCUGCUCAUGUUCAAUGCUUCUAAUCUGAAUAAAGCUCGAUUAUUUGAUUUUUCGCUCAUUUGAACAGUGGAUUCAGAUUAUCUGAUCCCUCAUAUUUUUAAUAGGAUCAAGACAUUUUGCACAUGUAAACGCGGCUAGUGGUGCAUUUUGUAUCUGGUGCUGCACCUGGAGCGACAAAUCAACAAAAUACAUACUGAUCCUUGGUCAUACAAAAGCAUCCUGAUUGUCUAACAUGCAACUAGAGUAACAUCUGCGUACAUAUUUGUAAAUAAGUAAGUAAAGUUUAUUUAUAGAUUACUUUUCACAGAUAAAAAUCACAAAGCGCUGUACAUAAAAAGUGCAAUUAGAGAAACAUAGAACAGUACAAAAAAGAUAAGUACAUGUAUAUACAUAAAUACAAAUACAGUACAGUGAAUAUGGAAAUGAGUGCAGAUAUAAAAGAUAACUAAAAUAGACGAGUUUUAAAAACGUGUCUUUGGCACCAUUAGAAGGUUCUGGCCUGACGAGCGAAGGGUGGCCCCCUGGGGAGUAGAGGCACAACAAAUCAGUGAUAUAUUGGGGUGCAUCUGUGUAAUUAUAAGAGGAAAAUAUAUAAAAUUAUCUUGUUUUGUACCUCAGAGUGAAGAGCAGUGAGGAGAAGAGCGGAGCUGCCAGCUCUGACUCAUUGUUUCCUUUCAGCUAAAGUGAGAAUAAUGUGAUUGUGUCACAGGUGAUGUUCAUGAUCCAGCGUGUCAAACACCUGGAAACAGAGACCUUUUUUCCGAGCCACGGAUGAUGAUGAUGCCGUGAAAUGUUUCCCUCUCUCGCCCCGCGGCGUGGUAAUCUCAUUGGUAACAAACAGUCUCAAGUGACGAGAGGAUUAAGAGAGAUCUGUGACACAUUUAGAGUCGCUCAGGUGUUUGAGCGCUGAUUUUCAUGGAUUAUUGGAGAGAGGCCGCGUGUAUCCGGCCAGAACAAAGCAGACAUGAUGAUUUUAUGAUCUGGAACAUUCCUGUGAACGUCCGCACAUACAUGUAGGGGUUAUACACUGAGACUGGGGAGGCCGUGUAAACCAAAUCAGUCUGUGUCAGGAUUUUAGACUAAACUUCUGAUAAUAAAAAUCACGCAUUGGUUAAGUUUGUCCGAUUGGAGUUGCCGUACAAGCUCAAACCACUUUAAAUAGUAUAGAAAAAAUAUUAUAUUUUACAGUCAAAAGUCUCAAUUGUUCAUCAUACUGAGUGUGUUUGUUCCACUUCUUUUAAAGACCCACAAAAACUGAUUUUUUUGUGCCAAUUUUUGUCACUCCGAACCUUUUAGUAUAACUUUUUCUGAAGGAAACUUGGCCUUCAAACUCUUGAUUUAUGCCUUUAUAUAUUUUAUGUUUUUUAUCAGAGAAAUGCGCCUGGCUCUGCUCUUAAAUCAUUUAUAUGUUGAAACGUCUUUAUAUAGUUCAAAGAUUGCAGAAACAUUCACAUGAAAGACAUCCCCGAACUCUCUGGAGAGAGAACUCUUUGACAAACAUCCAAUCGUAUCGCGUGUUUUAGGAACCUGCUGCAGAGAUAAAUUUAACUUGGGAUCAGAAUUUUAAUACAGAUUUUAAAAGUGUUUAAAAAUGAUAAACAUUGAGAUUUUAAAUAUGCGAUAAAAAUAAAGUUAAAGGUGGGGUAAACAAGUUAUAGUUUUUAGGAGAAAUCUCAAACAGACGCUCCUGCUCGCUCGUAUCGUUCCAGUUAAAUUCAGAUAUAAUGCAGAUAAAUACUUCAGAUCAUUACAAAUGGGGCCCAGUCAAGGUGAAAGUCAAAAGCAUUGGUGCUACUGUAGAUGCCAACAGACUACCAGCAAACACAAUGUUUGCAGGACUUCUACAACUAGGAUAAAGUGACAUAGUCCAGGACCCGAGGGAGGACAGUUUAGCGAUGGCGCUACAACACGCUACAGCAGGUCCGUUUGACAAGAAACACUUCUGUUACAGACACUUGUCUUACUUUGUUAAAGCGGUUUACCUGUCCAGCAGAAAGGUUACAGGGUCACCAAGAUCCCCAAGCGUCCCCCAUCGUUUAUGUUGACCCGGCUUUUUAGCUCUUGUCCGGUCUACCUCCGUUUUAAGCGCCCGUUAUUCCUGAAGUUGGAGCUUUAAAUGACGUCACACCCAAGUUAUCAGCAUUUCAGUUACGAAGUCCGAAAAAAGCAAAAUCGGAGGUGGAAACAAGAUGGCUACAUCUCCGAAAGUUAUUUUAGUGCUUGCCUUGUCCGAUUAUUGGGCCACUUAGUUUGGUUAUUUUUAACUGAAAUGCUGGGAACUUGUGUGUGACGUCAUUCUCAGCUCCGACUUCUGACUUCCGAGGAAACUCAAACGCAGCACUUAGGAGCAGCGUCUGCCUCACAACCAAUCAGGUUAGAGGAGGUGGAGAACGGCUUUGUUUACAGUCAGAAAGAGCGGACCGCUCAAAAAUGUUCAAAUGUUGACGACACAGACAUAAGAGAACACAGAGAUAUAGAUAUAUUACCAAAUGUCAUCAAUAACUAAUAACUAUUGACUGAUAUUAAAAGAUUUUUGUAUAAAAACCACAAAAUAAAAAGAUGCUUCUUUAACAGAUUCCUGUCUACUCCACCUUUAAGUCGGUUUUCUUCUUGUGGUCCAGACUUCUUUCCUUAGACUAGAGAUCAGCUGGACUCUCUCAUAUGAACACUGAGUUCUUGUUGCUGAUGUGGAUCUGUGUGAGUCUGAGUGUGUUUGUUUUUUGCUGCCAUUCUUGGUCAGGACCCCCCCUGAAAAAGAGAUUGAUGAUCUCAACAGGACUAGUCUGGUUACAUCAAAUCAAAAAGACACACAACCUGCCUCCUGUCUUUGUCCUCUACAGAAAACCUGAUCCAGCUGCAGGACUCACAUCUGGGACAUGUAAGACCACAUGGAUCCAUGACCCAGACGGAGCGGUAACAUGACAUCCAGCAGAAACAGACACAAUAAAGACAAACAGACGAGGUGAUUUCAGUGACUCAGUUUGAGGAUUUUUAUGAUUUUUUUUACCCACAAUCAGAGACUUGACCACAAUCUGAGCUGAGUCAGAAACAUCCAAACAGCCGGACUAAUAAAUGUGAUUAUUAUUAUUAGAGUGAUUGAAAAGCUCAUAACAACAUGUAGAUCUGUCCAAAGUCUGAUUCUAGAUGUCUUUACAAACACACUGAUCCAACAGAAGCAGACAGAAAUAUCCAUCGAUCACAUGAACACAAAUAUUCAGCAAACAGAGAAAGAAACAGAUCAUCUGAAGAGUUUUUGGGGACGACUGGAAAGACUUUAGACGCUUGGAUUUGGGACAGGAAAUAAGGUCGUCCUUUUUCUGUGAUUUUGACCUCACUUUUUUCUAAAGUCUCAGACCUUCAACAUCUGCACCAACUGAAGGUGAUUUGAACAAACCAUCAUCUUGAUGUUGUUGAUAUCAAACUGUAUGAAGAUUUUUCAACAUGAGAAAUACAAACAAUCAAAGUUCUCCACAAUCACUGUCCUUAAAGCUGCGACCAAAUCAGCAUCUUUAGAAAAGAAUCAAAAAGCUGAAAUGAAGAACUAAACCCAGAGUUUUUGGUGAGACUGAUCCACAAACAUUUACAAACCAGAACAUUUCAAGAGUUCAAGGAUCUCAGUCCAUGAUUUUGGUCUGAUGGACUCAAAAUUCUCUUUAGUUCACUUCUAUAAACUCAGCAGAGUCUCCAAACCAGUCUAACCUCAGUCCAGCAUGUAGAGGUUCAGUGAAUGUGGUCUGGACUCUGUGGAGGAGAGUCAUGGUUUCAGAGACGCUGUAGAAGGACAGAAUACCUGCGCUGUGAUCCAGGUACACUCCUACUCUGGAGGACGGAGGACCUGAGACAGGAGUGAGGACUUUGUUGUGAUCAAAACUAUAACUGUCUUUAGAACAGAAUAACCUCCAAGAUUUGUCAUUUUUUCCAAAUAUACCAUCAUCUGAGUUCCCGUCUCUCCUGAUAGUCUUGUAUGUGACUGCUACCCAAACCCCGAACCCUCUCCAGUCCACCUCCCAGUAACAACGUCCAGUCAGACUCUCUCUACUCAGGACCUGAACAUAAUCAGUGAAUCUGUCUGGAUGUUUAGGAUAAGACUGUGGUUGUUGUUUUGUCCUUGUUGCUCUUCUGUUUCCAUCAGAUAAUAUCAGCUCUCUGCAUGCUGUGUUUGGAUCCAGUGUGAUUCUUUGUGAAUAUCUUAAGAAACCAGCUCUGGUCUUGGGUUCUGCUGGUCCUGGUGGUUCUAACAGUAAAACAUCCACAUCAGUCACGGCCUGUGAGACGUUUGUCCACGUCUCUGUCAGAAGAUCCUGGAGUUUCUCUCUGACCUCUGACACAGCUGCUGUCACCUCCUCAAAGUAUCUCAGAGGACGGAUGUUGAUCCUGGAUGAGUCUGCAGGUUGACCCGGUUCUGACAGUGAGGGGUAGCUGUGCAGAAACUGGUUGUGGUCCUCUGUGAGUGAGAGCUUCUGCAGAUCAGCGUCUCUCCUCUUCAGCUCAGUGAUCUCCUGCUCCAGUUUCUCCUGAAGCUCUUUGACUCGACUCACUUCACGUUCCUGCUGGGAUCUGACCUGCUGCUCCACCUCAGAGCGGCGUUUCUCCAUCAGACGGAUCAGCUGUCUGAAGAUCUCCUGGCUGUGCUCCACAGCUUUAUCAGCAGAGCCGUUGAUAGCCUCCACCUCCUGUUGGAACAGCUUCACAUCUUCUUCUCUGUCCUGGAUUCUCUGCUGGAUGUUUUCUCGACCCUCCUCCAGAUCUUUCUGCCUCUCAGUCCUUUCUGCUGCAGCUGAGACUGUGUCGUGGCCUUUGUGUUGGUCCACAGAGCAGAGAUGACAGAUAGACUGUUGAUCAGUGCGACAGAACAUCUUCAUCACCUCAUCAUGACGAGAGCAGAUGUUCUCCUGGAGCUUCUUGGAGGGCUCCACCAGCUUGUGUUUAGCAUAGGCAGGAGAUUCAUAAUGAGGCUGGAGGUGUUUUUCACAAAAUGAGAUCAAACAGACCAGACAGGACUUGACAGCUUUCAGUUUUCUCCCACUGCAGAAAUCACAGACCACAUCUUCAGGUCCAGCCUCAGAGGAACCACCAGGAGCAGCUUGGAGUCCACUCCUCUUCACUUCCUCCACUAAACCUGCUAACAUGGUGUUUUUCUUCAGGACAGGCCUCGGUCUGAAGGUCUCUCUGCACUGAGGACAGCUGUAGAUCUUCUUCUCAUCCUCAGUAUCCCAGUAGGAUUGAAUACAGCUCAUGCAGAAGCUGUGUCCACAGGUGACAGUCACCGGAUCCUUCAGAAGAUCCAAACAGAUGGAACAAGAGAAAGACUCACGGUCCAGAUGAACUCCUUUCUGCGCCAUUUCAACACUCGCUGUCGACGACGACUGACUGAGUUUUAUUUCCUGAGAAGUGAAACUAGUCUGAGCUCUGAUCUCAACAACAUGUGCGUCAGCAGGAUAUGACCUCAGCACACGACGGUUACACCCAACCAAGACUGUAGAACUGAGGGGGAGGGAGGAAGGAAGGGGAGGAAACAAGGAAGUGAGAGUGCAGAGUGGAGUGAGCUGAGAGAGACGAGGGAGGGGGGGGGAACCAGUUUACCUACAAUCCAGGAAGAGGAGCGUCUCUGUGAACUUUAGACUCUCAAACUCCAACAAGCAGAAGUUCUUAAAGCUGCAGCCGUCCUGAAGAUCAACUGAACCAACAUUUAUUCACCUCAUAGAAACCUCAUCGAGCAGAAACACACUUCAACUGUUUUAGAGACACAGAGUUAAAGACACAACACAGAGAAACACUCUCUCUCUCUCUCUGUCUCAAGCCCCGCCCACAAACAGACGCUCCUGCUCGCUCGUAUCGUUCCAAUUAAAUUCAGAUAUAAUGCAGAUAAAUACUUCAGAUCAUUACAAAUGGGGCCCAGUCAAGGUGAAAGUCAAAAGCAUUGGUGCUACUGUAGAUGCCAACAGACUACCAGCAAACACAAUGUUUGCAGGACUUCUACAACUAGGAUAAAGUGACAUAGUCCAGGACCCGAGGGAGGACAGUUUAGCGAUGGCGCUACAACACGCUACAGCAGGUCCGUUUGACAAGAAACACUUCUGUUACAGACACUUGUCUUACUUUGUUAAAGCGGUUUACCUGUCCAGCAGAAAGGUUACAGGGUCACCAAGAUCCCCAAGCGUCCCCCAUGGUUUAUGUUGACCCGGCUUUUAGCUCUUGUCCGGUCUACCUUCGUUUUAAGCGCCCGUUAUUCCUCCAGAGUCUCCGGUAUUUACUUUGUUUUCUUGCUUGUGUCGGCAGUCGUGGCCAAAGGAGGAUUCAGACAAUUUUCCGAACUUUCUGGUUGGUUUCUACUGUCCGAUAUUGUAGCACGCUAACUUUGUUUGGGUUCAUGAACGACACGAAUCCUGCCUACCCCUCCUUUAAUGCAAGGGGAUAAAACUCAAAUACAGUUUAUUUAGCAGCUGCAAGUUUGUUGAAGCAGUUUUUAAACUGUUCGUGCUGCUGUAGAAAUCUGUGUUGAUAUUAAAAAAGGGGGAAUAAACCUGUACCAGUAAAAAGGAGAUAUCAGAUGAGACAAAAACAUGACCCACUGUGUCUCUCUACAGAUUUAAAGAUGUGACCACCUCUCCGAGAGCAUACAGAGAAAGAAAGCCACUCUCAUGACUCCACUGGUCUGGUCCUGCACAGCUGUUCCUCAGUGCCACUUGUUGACGGUGCCAAGAAGAGGCAGAACCAGGAAGCUGCUAAUCUUUACAUCUGAUGGAAGAGGAUCUGUCAAAGGGAGACCUUUCAGAGAGAGGUUUGGAGAUCUCUGAGCUCGAUCUCAGGAAACACUAUCCCCUUCAAAGCGAAUGAGUCAACCCUACCUUGGGAACAGUUGGAUUCACUUGUCGGAUGUUGUGUGUGGGAUUGAUUUACGGCAUAAGAACGGAGCAUAAAACUAAAGCAUGCAGGCUGGGGAUGAAAGUUUGGGCCGUCACCACGCAGAGAAAAACAUCAUCCUAAAAACAGACACACAUGUCUCCUGUCAGAUAAACCAUCGAUGUGCACGCAGUUAACGGCUAAACUCUCACAAACAAAGAAGGAGAGGUUCUUUGUUUUCAACAUGAGACAAAUUUUAUACGUUAAAUAAGUCCAGGCUGCAGAUUUAUGAAUGCACUUCAGUGGUCUUGUUGUGUAUUGGCGCUCCAUCGCUGCUGAAAUGCGUGUAAUCUGUGCAGUCCUCGGCUUAAAUGCAUCAUUUUGCAGUGGUGCAUGUUAGCUGUAAUGGAUUCACUCUGCUGCUAAACAAGAUGGGAGCUCAACAAAAGAAUUUCACAGGCGGGUUUAUAAACACUACAGGCUGGUUAUACCUGAGACUUUCAAUGUUUAAGACAGAGAAACAAAAAUACUGAAUUAAUUGUGGGAGUGAAAUUAUAAAGGCUGGGACUUUAACGCGUUCAUUGCGAUUAAUUAAUCACAGUAAUAUUAUCUUGUUAAAAAUAUUAACGCAUAUUAAUCAGACCUACUGUGCUUUCAUUGGCUUUAGCAUGGAUGGGCAGACUGCUCUGUAUUACUAUCCUGCGGUCGUUACUAAACUUGGUUCAAUUAGAGAAGCAAGCGGUCGUCAACACUCAUCUCUCAACGGGGUGUCUAACUCGGUGUUAUGGUGUGUUUGACCCUAAAUUAAUUUUACGCUGGAAUAUCCCUUUAAGUAUCACCUUGAAAAAAAAUUAAACCAGGUUUUAUUUGCUUAAGCUUAUGUAUUCAUUCAAUUCACUUUUUAUUGAUUCACUUGUAUGCCAUUAUAAAAACAAAAAAAUGAUUCUCACUGUUCUCAGGUCAAAUAUUUAUUUGCGAUUAAACACGAUUAAUUGCGAUUAAUCAAUUACAAAUUCUCUGAUUAAUUAGAUUAAAUUUUGAAAUUGAGUUCCAGCCCUAGAAAUUAUAUUUUUAAAUCCCUCAAAAUAAGAGAAACAAUAACUGUGUCAAUUUAAAUGCAAAAUUUCUUAUACUGUCUUUGUAUGCUAGUACUGAGCCUAUAUGUGCCAGUAGAUGAUGAGUUUAGUUAAUUUCUUGGGUUAUGGACAAUAAUGUGGGACAUGCAUGUACAUAAAAACAGAUAAAGAUGUGGGUAAAGGGAGUAAAGAGAAAUCUACAUGAAUACAGUUAAAGCAUAUUGACUACUUUACAUAUUCAGACAUCAGGAGAAAUAAUGAAAGUGAAAAGAUGGAUCUGCAGAUGUGGAUCCUGAGGGUACAAACUCUUUUAUAAUUGAGCUCAAACAUUCGAACCCUGAACUUUUGACUUUAGAGCUUCAACCGAGUUUAAAUGAGCAUCCUCACAGACGGUGAAACACUGAAUUUAUAUCAAGAAUAAAAAAAACACAUCCAAACAAACCCUCUGAGGAUUCUCCUGCUGUAGGAGCGUACGGCAGGUAUUUCCCUUUAGUCAUUCACAACAUUAGAGUACGAGCCCGUGUGCAUUACCAUCACACCGUGGAUGAAAAUAGACCCUUAAAGGUAACACAGCCCACUCAGGAGUCACUGCAGCGGGAUGAUUUCACCCAAAGUGUGACGGAGCUCCUCUAACCUCCAUCUGUUUAUCCCCGUCAGCCGGAGAUCCUGUAACCGACGCAGGGUAACCAUGUCAGAGUGUCAGAUAUGAGCGCGCACCGACAUCAUCCACAACACCAAGUCUGUGUUUGCUAUAAUUGGCCUCCUGAUAGUAAACACUCUGCACCCUCAUGCCACAAUGCAUAAAUCAUGUUUUGUCAACACAAUGCUGGGAGAGGGGGUCAAGUGUUAUGCUAACUAAUAGGCAGAGGGAGAUUCAAACCAAAGGCAAAUAAAAGGAAAGUGUAAAUGUACGGAGGAAAGUGAGAGUAAUUGCAGGCUCGGGCCUAAAGUGCUGCGUGGGUUCAUUAAGGCAAACAGAUCCGAGCGCUCUGGUGUCUGUUUGCCUCUAAAUACUGUCAUCUUCUAAUGGGGAUUACCUCUUUUCUCUGUUUUUCUGCUGCAGCACGUCAGCUGUUUUUCUGGUUUUAUCUGCCUGCCUCAGCAGAAACCGAACCGAAACGGAGACUGACAGAGAGGGGGAAACUAUCUGCUCUCUCAGUAAUGGACUGCAUUUAUAUCACACUCAUAUAGGAGCUCUAACAGGCCUUCACACUGCCUCACCUUUCUCACUCUCACAGGGAACUAAGUGGAGUUUAGUAAUCCACACAAAGAAACUUUGACAUGAAGACAUUGGAGCUACGGUGCACAAGUAUUUUAUCUUUUUAAGGCCACGUUUGUAUGUACCCGGUUAUUUUUAAAAACACAACUCACCUACUCUCUUCCAGCAGCAGCUUGUUUGUAGAGAGACCUCAGGCCAGUCCAUUACGGACUACAGCGGGGUGCCGCAGCUCAAGGAAGAACAUUUAUGAUCAUUUCUUUAUCAUUUCCUUGAAGUAAUAAUCACCGUAUUGAUCAUUUUCACUGCAGACACGGUAGUUCUUCUGACUCAGCGUCUUGGACUGAUUGUAUUUCCAUGAAGAAAUGAUCGUAAAUGUUCUUCCUUGAGCUGCGGCACCCCACUGGCCUGAGGUCUCUUUACUCAGAUCACUGUCUAUCGCUAUCCUGCAGUCGUUACUAAAGUUGGUAUAACUUGAGAAGCAAGCGGUCGGCAAUAAUUAACUCUCGAGAAGGUGUCUAACUCGGCGUUACGGUGUGUUUGACUCUAAAUUAAUUAAUAAUAAUCCCUUUAACCAUUGUUUGCACCCUUCGUUUGGACGCGAACUGAGGAAACGAUGCUUUUUAAAAACUCCAGCUGGAGUGGAGAAUCUGGAAAACUCUGUAUGUAAACAGAGAAAAUGGAGAUUUGGGUAGCCGAUGGCUGACUGUGCGCCGCAAACUGGGUUAAAUGUGACGUUGUUUAUAAUCUACAGUCUAUGUUUACGAUCUAUGGUGAUCAUGGUUGCAUGCGGAACAGUAGUCACAUUUAUGCUGGUGGCAUCCCUUUAUAUUUGUUUGCAUUUGCAUCUUUUCCAAUCAAAGGAAGUGACGUUGUUGUUGUUGUUGCUGCUAUGCGGGAUUCUGAUUGGCUAACGUGGGCUUGAGCGUCCCACGACAACGCCACCAACAGGUUUGGCAUGGUUUUGACGGCAUAUAUACACGGGUUAGUGUAAAUGAAAACUUUUCUGAAAAUGGAGUGGUGCGCACGCAGUUUUUUUCGUGAACGUAGAGGGUGAAAUGUCCGUUUAUAAAAAUGUCAUCGUAGUCUAAAUUUUAAAUUUGUCCCUGUCAACAUGAGUUGCACGAAAUGCGUCUAUAAUGAGAAUCUUUAAAGGCGUGAUAAAAUCCACACAGAGUUAGAUUCCUGCAGCAGCUGAUCAUGUUUGUUUCUCCUCUUUCCUGCUGAUCCUACAUUAAUUAAAAUGAGACGAGCAGAAACAAACACGAGGUCAAAGGUAUUUCUCUAAUGAGCUGCUCUGCUGUAGAUUUGGUGAAGGUCUGCAUCAGUGUGUUUUAUUUGUAUACUUGAACGGUAACGUCGUCCCUGUCUUUGACAACUUCUAGCUUCUCAGCCGCUCAUUAAAAUGACAAAUGUGCGACACAAACGGAUGACCGUGGCGGCUUUAUUCUUCGUGUGUGUGGAGCGUCUCCGUCUGUCGGUGGAAAGAAUCGGUUUGUCUCCGGUGCUCGUGUCUCUGCACCGCGGCUAAAGUAAUUGAAGAGGAUAAAGUGUCAGAGAGUGCACAGGAACACAAUCCAGGGGUGGAAAUAGUGUCCCCUGUUGCAGCUCAUGUACACACACACACACACACACACACACGCCUCGGACAAACACAAAGAAACUAUGAACGCGUCGUGAGCGAGUGCCGUGGGAGGUUUUAUGAGAAACAAACUUACUUUUGAGCAUUUUCUCUAUGAGCCGGUGGAUGCCGGUGAUUGCUCCAUUUGUCUUAUUUACUGUACAUCAGCCUUAUUCACUCUGCCCACCAAACAGUCCUAAACUGAGCCAAUGUGCCCAUAAUUCACAGCCGGAGCUGCAUUCACAGGCUGAGUCUACUCUCUACCAUACUGCAGGUCUGUCUUUGCAAAGUAGAGACGAAAGGAGCAAAGAAGAUGAAGCAGGAAAAGACACUCGGAGGUACACUAACAUGGCGUUAAAACUUAAUAUAUUCAGCUGUUCCAUUUGUGUGUCUUUGCAUGCAAAACCAGUUUUUGUGUAGCCCACUAAAGAACCCCAAAAUAGACCAGGAUACUGUCUGCAGGUAUUUGUUUCUCUGUCGGCCCUUUUCGCAGAUGUAAAGAAGUCCCAGCAGCGCCUCCUCACCGCGACGUUUACUCGUUUUCUCCUCGGUGAUUCUGCCAAAGUCCACACUGUGUUGUGGUUUGUGGUUUCUUCAUGUCUUAUGUCUUUAAUUUGGUAAACGUCUCCUUCACUCAGCUUCUGUUUCCUUCUCCACCUCUGGUCUUUCUCUCUCUGCUGAUUGGUCAGGAUUGAUUUCAUAACGCACGGGUGGUCGUCGUGUUGUUCCCAACAUCAAACAGACAAUAACAGGUAAGAACACCUGCAGAGAUAACUCUGUGUGUUUUCAAAGCUUUGGGGAGAUUCUGAUUUUCUCUACAGCUCUGUUUCUUAAAGUUAUUAGGGGGUUCAUGUUUCUAUGAUUGACACCUGAUGCAGCCUAUUGGCGCUCAGGGAUUGCAUAGCUCACCCGGGGGAUACACUGUUUGAGCUGAGCGUCAUCACAGCGACUCUCGGCGACUCUCCCGCCGAAUGCGAACAACGCUUCUGCGCAAAUGGUGGUUUCAGGAAAUGAAGAGAAAUCGCGGAAAUACCGAGAACUUUUUGGCUUCAAAUCCGUAUACAGGCGGGAGGCGGAGCCAAGUUGUCCGUAGUUUAUACAGUCUAUGGUCUCAAUAUUUAAAAAUAACCUGGUAGAUAGAAACGGGGCCUCAGUCACAAGAAUCAGCAAACAGCUGCAUGCAAACAACACAGAAAUGAUUACAUGGAGCUUCACUAAGAGUAAGACAAAAUUACUUAUAAUUACAAUCUUUCAAGUUCAAUCUUCAGAAACUUGAACAUGAACAUGGAAAGUAAAGUGACACACAGUGAUGGUAGAAGAAGAACACAUGGAGAUAAUGUGAGGACGCUCUGCUGCAGUAAUAUUGGUUUCAUUUCUGGUUUGUUUUUUAAUGAUAAAAGUGUUAUAGAAAGAUUACUCCUGAGAUGAGUUAGUGUGGAUUAUACUCGACUGUUUUUCCUGCAAACCCGCUUCGAAGAGAAACCGUAACACCUGCUGAAAAAGCUGCAAAUCCGACUCCUGAGAACAGAGUUUAUGUAGAAUAUGUAAAGAAGGAUUAAACUGAGAAACGCUGCGCCUGUAACAAACAAACUCCUCUUUUAGAAGACUGAACGUGUCCGUUUAUUUUAUAACAACUGAGUUUGUUCAGCCGCUAUCAGAGAGGUUUGACCAUCCAACUAUCUCCAGCUCUGCUGCUGCGUUGGCUAACAAAGAGAAAGAAGAAGAAGAAGAAGAAAAAGAAGAAGAAGAAGGAAAAGAAGAAGGCCCAGAAAGAGCAGAGGCUGAACAAAGGAGACAAAGGAAGAGAGACAGCAGCAGCGGGACAACAGGAGGAGGUGCAGCAGAAGAAAGUGUUUCUCACUCCGGCUCAUUUUCCUCUCUCAUCUCUUCUCCUCACUUUCUCUUUCCUGGGCUGUCUCUCAGGCUCCCUCUGCUUUUACUCUCUCUCUCUCUCUCUGUCCCUCUCUCUCUCUCUCUCUCUCUCUCUCUCUCUCUCUUUUCUCUCACUUCAAAGUGAGGCUGGGAUUAUAGGCUGGAACAGACUGCCUUACAGCUCAUUCAUAAUGAAUGGAGGCCCACUUUAAUGACUCUGUCCACUCACAGCCCCGCUCCUCCUCCUCCUCCUCCUCCUCCUCCUCCUCCUCCUAAUGAUGUCACCUUUGGUUCCCAGGUGACGCUGAUAACUCCUCUUUUGUUUGCUUUAAUUUUACAGAUGAUCGACACCGUCACCCAGCUGAUGGAUAUUUAGGACGUGGCGCUAUUGGCUGACUGCACUGCAAAAAAAAGGAGGGUCUAAAAACAUGUGAAAAACACUAAAUCUGAGGGAAAAGGUACGAAAAACAAGAUUAUCUGUCCAUGCAGUGAGAUAAUUUCACUUGACAAGAUUUCUUAAAUUAAGAUUAUUAAAUCUAGAAAUACAUAUGUCUGCAAAUGUAUUUGGAAGGCUUAAGGUAAGACAAAAAUGCUGGUUUUAAGAUCAGAUUAUUCAAAAUUUAGCUUUUACAGACCUAAAAUAAGUGAAAUGUACAAAAUAUGAGCAUGAAAUGAGUAUAAGAUGCUGGUUUUAGGAUCAGACUACUUGAAUUUUAACUUUUACAGCCUCAAAAUAAGAUAAAUAUACUUAGUAUUAGCAUAAAAUGAGUAUUAAAUGCUGGUUUUAAGAUCAGAUUACUUAAAAUUUGACUUUUACAGCCCUAAAAUAAGUAAAAUGCACUAAAUAUAAGCAAUAACAUAUUUUGUUUUCUUACUUUAAGCAAAUUAAGAUGAAGAUUAGUUCAAAACAAAAUAGAAAUUAAGAGAAAAAAAUACCCAGAAUUAGUGAAGAAUGACUUGAUCUUAAAACAGGAUUCCUUUUGAUGAGACUAUAUUUUAUUUUAAUAGUUAUUUUCCUCAUUUGAAGAUUUCCUGCCUAUUUGAUUGAGACAAAAAAGAUAAGAUUGUACUUGAUAUUAGAUUAUAGUGUAGAGUUAAACACUUCAAAUAAGAAAUUAAGUCUUAAAACAAGAGAAAUUAUCAAACACUUCUAAAUCUGAGUUUUUUCUCAUCUUGGUAAGAACCAAAUAAUUUACAGUGUGCCUCUCCAGUUCGUAAACAGCGUCGCCAUCAAACGGAGAAAGGAGAAGCUGAGGGGCGCCUGGAGCUGAGAGGAAGAGUGGAACAGAGAAAUAGAAAUGGAGAGAGGAUCUGUCAGUCUGCUCUGAGAGCCUCGGAUUGACAGAUGAGGGUGUAAAAAAAGAGAAUAAAGCAGAAAGAGGUGGAGAGAGCAGAUCUAUCACUUUAAUGACCGAGUGCAGCCUUCUCUGUUCUUUAGAGGACGAUCGGCACGGUGACCCGCUCGCUGUUAGCGUUAGCUCUCAGUGACAGAUGAGCCAUCUGGAUGAAUAGCGCUGACAGCAGUCUUAAGACUAAUUUUACCCCAGCAGACAACAGUACAGUACGGAGCCGGCUCUGCUCGUCAAUCUGAAGGGUUCUUAUGACGAAGGAGAAAUGGGCCUGGUGCUGGAUCUCCACACGGAGCAUGAAAAAUUCAACAGGGAGCUGCUGCUGCUGCUGAUCACUCCCAGGAUGCACUGGUUUAAUGUUUUGAGGCUUUUUGGACGGACUGACUCUUUCUUUGGCGUCUCAGAGUCACGGUCGAAUAAACGAGGUUCACUCAAAUGUUUUCAUCUUCACUCUUUAGUCCUGAUAAAUAAAAGCUGGAUGACGUUGUUUCUCUGUUUUCUGUUUGUGGUUUCACAGUCCUCUUAGCAUCUUAGCUGUUGGAUCAAUACUGAAAUAUAUCAAUAUCAAUAAUAGAUUACAUUUACUAGGUAAGAUUUUCAGAGGUGGGUUCCAGUGUAAUCUGAUCAAUAAUCUGAUUUUCUCAUCUUUACGACACGGUCUGUAAAAUCAAGAGUGGUAAAGAAUUCCUCAAAUUAAAGGUCUGAGAGAACCGGGCCGCAGACCUGUCAGGAAAAACCAGAGGAGGUGGGACCUGCUUCAUUUAGAGACCCUUUUAGAGACCCUGGACUGUGAUAGUUCUCCUGGUCUGUUCUGGAGAACUACCUCAGGACCAGAUCAGGUUCUACCACAGGUUUUCACACCCUUCAGGGACCUGUGCGUGGAUCCUGUUUGCUCAAGACUGUGGAGAUGACAGUGGACUUGGCCCCCUCACAGUCCUCAACAGCCUGGACUCAUUCCAGUUCCUAGGAACAACCAUCUCCAAGGACUGGAGUUGGACCCCCAAAUACACUAACCCUAACAAACAAGUGAAAGGUUUUUAGACGUCAUUUCACCCCGAUGACACCAUGGAUGAGGAGAUGCUGAUUCUAGAAGUCUAGAAGUAGAUUUCCUCCUCUGGAAGGACACAAUCUACUGCUUAUAUGUCUAUGUGUCUGUCUUUAGAGAGACAACUCCUUAUUGUGCACGUGAAUCCGCGGGUUCUUGUGAUUUCUCAUGAUUCCCGCUGUCCGUAAUCUGCCACCAAAUCUGCCUCACAAAUGGAUGCGGUAGGAAUUGGCAGACGGUGAAAAUUGACCAUUCCAGAUCCGAUGGAAAUCCCGGUUAAGACUUACCUAACUAACCCACUGACCAACUAACUAACAAAUAAACCCCCCACCCUGGCGCUCAAUCAUCUGAAAUUGGAGCACUAUCCUGCAGGUGAAGGUCUGGGACCAGAACCCCUGAUGGUUUUACCCAGGCCAACAAAAGGGCACCUGUAGGAGAUGUACCAGAGAAACCAGGAGCUCCUUUCUGCAGACUGCUGCGACACACCGAGGUCUACAGAACCUCUAACUCCCUCAGGAGGGGUCUCAGAGGUCUCCAGCAUUUCAGACUCAAACCCCACGACCGUUUAAAGAGCAAAUAUGAGCCAUAAAAACAGUCGGUACUAAACCCUUCUUGGUCGAAACUAAAUUAACAGCCCUCGUUAAUUGUCCGUGUCGUCACUCAGGUAAAUUAGCGAACUCCGUGUUUUUGCAUUCCUGAUCCAUCUCCAUCCGCCUGCAUCUUCCUCUCUGAACAGGAACCUUUAAUGACUUCAUUUGGGUCCUGCGGCGGCCCAGGUGCUGCUAAAUGAGAUUACACAGCUGGUUAUUUCUGAGGUCUCAGUGAAGAGGGUCAGCCUGUAGAGGAGGUCACAUCAGAGGAACGCUAAUUGACUGAUUGGACUCCUCAAGAGGGUCUCCAUCAUCAUCAAAGUCACAAAAGCACAUAUUGAAAUAAGUUUCUUUGGUACCUCAGAGAGUUUCUUACAGCGUCUUUGUUGUUAUGUGACGGCACACAUCUCCUCUGGGACCACGAUGAAGUAACUACAAAAUACUCCAGCGGCGUCCACAGACUAGACAUGCAGCAUUGAAGCUUUUUAAAUAUCCACCAAGAGUCUGAAAAAGCCGAGCCGUGAUGGAGCUUUGAAACAGAAAAGUUAAACUUUGACCCACAUCACAUUUCCCACAGAAAAGCGCCUUCAGAUAUCAAUCUCCCGGCAAAACAAAUCAGCGGGCGAACGAGCGACGACACACAGCUGCACCACCAAACCAAACAAUCAGUCUGCAUCCUGGUCCGAGGCCGCGGCGACUCCCUGAUUGAUUUUCAGCAACAUGUGAGAUGGUCUCAUACGACCUUUCCUCUCCACUUCCCUGCUGAUGAUAGACGCAGACGUCAGGUAAGCCCCUCUGACCCCUCAGAGCCCAUAUCCUUCAGAACACACAGCCUGAUUACCCCGAGGACACAAACACACUCACACAGACACACACAUAUUACACUCUUGAGGGAUGGCAGGUAGAGGGGGAUCACUCUGUCUUGGUAGAGGUGGGCUCUUCCCCCAAAUCCCAGCAGGGUCGUUUAGUGAAGCUGAUUUCAGAGACAGAAGUGUUGGUGUGUUUGUGGAGUCACAUGUCCACUAAUGACUUUGAGACAAUGUCUUCUUAUCUCUGGGGAAGGAGACGGAGGAUGGACGAUGGCGUGUGUGACCCUCAUACACCAUCUGAGGUGAACCACAGACACAGACAGACGAUUAUGACCCCUCCCCCCCAUUAGUCAACCUUCCAAAGGUUUUAACUUACUCUGAUUUUUACGACUUCUACCUCGUUAUGUGGAAGAAUCAGCAACAUCAUUUUGGGGAAGUAUUUUCCUCAGCGCUGUAGUUCCUCAUGUGGCCACUAGAGGCUUGCUCCAAAAUAGAGACCAUUUCCAUAGAGUCUCAUGUUAAAUAUUUGACUUAGCAAAAAAAAUAAACGUGUCUACAGCAUUUUAUCCCUCAUUUUUAUGGAGGUGUCUUAAUUUAAGGAAUAAAGGUCUUUACACACCGGGAGCGAAAAUUCACAAAGCAAAAUAUCGACUGUUUUUUAUUCGCUCUUGUGUCAAAUUUUGCGAAGGCGAAAAAGGCGAACGGCCAGAUCUCUGACCAAUCAAAAUGAUGUUGAUAUGUCGAUGACAGCACAUCCAAACUUUAGUGGCAGCAUCAGCUCUAGUCUGCAAUUCUUCAUCAUGACUGAGUGCUUUAUCGUGAGUGUGCAGGAGCGCCCUGCUUUAUGAGACAAGUCGGAGAAAAUAUAUGUAGGAAAUUGAAGAUAUAUUGAUGUUAUAUCAAUCCUCAAACAUAGAUGUGUAACGUAGCUAGCAUAAUAUGAAGCUAAGCUAGCUAACUAAGCUAGCUAACAGCUCGGUGCAACUUUCUCAAAGUCCAGUAAACGAUUGUAGAUGCUUUUAUAGAAAUAUUUUAUAGAAGAGCCAAACUUUAUUUGCUUAGCCGAGUUUAAUUUGCAUAAAUCGUGUCAUGCCCAGUGUGCACAGAAAAAAUUCCAGGUGAAACAUUAACCUUUUUGCGUCAAUCAUUCUUGUUACUUGGCCUAUUCCUCGGUGUGAAGCAGAUGCGGGUCCACGGUAACAAAAUGAUGGUCAAAUCUGAGUUAUCUGGUUUAUUUUGUUCACUCUGUGCUCUAUUUGAGGUCCUAGAAGACGCCGUCAAGCCUUCUACUUCCCUCAAGCUCUACAAACAUCUUCAUUUUUAAUAGAAUAAUCAGCUUCUGUCAGAUAUUCACAUUAAUGACUGAGCUUGGGGCAUUUAUGGGACAGUUUUCUGAUUUGUUUCCCAAUAAAAUGUCUGAGUUAUUCCCUAAAAUCCCCUUUGACUAUAAAACUGUGACACCUGAGAGUUUCCAGUUGGUCCUGUGACUCCAAACACAAACACGCCGAGCGCUGAAGGCGUGUACUAUAAAAGAAAAUAUCAGUUCAUAUGUUUUUUAAUCUUUGAGGAUCGUUUCUUGGAUGAUAAAGAAGUUAUGAUUUUGUGAAACAUGAGUACAAAACCAUGAGUAAAUAACUGCGGUGCGUCGACUCCCGCCUGUGUGGGCGUGAAGGCGGCGGAUAUUUAACCCUCAGGUGGCGAAUGUUGGCAUCGUGUCAGGAGGAAGUAAAGAGAAGAAGAAGAAGAAGAAGAAAAGGCUGCCUGUUGAAUUAUUAAAAGCACGGGGACAUUUCAAGAACAAAAGAGUCCCCUAGACAAAUGCCACCGAGACCCGAGUCCCCCGAGAGGAUGUUUAUCAGUCAGCCUUCCCACAAUGCACCUGGGUGCACACAAGAAAAUACAGAUACAUAAAAAAGUACCAGACACUGGGAUCCACACACACUUCCUGUUCGAGAUGAAUCAUCAGUGAUGGAUGGUGACGGCGGCGCCUUUGUGUAAAGAUACUGAAUAAAGGCGCCGGAACUUUCCACACAGGAACUGAAGGGACCUCUGGGGAACUAUGUGCAUUUUGAUAUCAGGAACCAGGGUCUACAAUUAGUUCUAACUGAUCUACACCUCAAAAAGACCCUGUCUCAUUAGGGGGAAGGCCUUUCCAAAGAUCCAGGAACUUUGACAAUCUCAUUGAACAUCAAUUCUGACACCGUUCGGCACGUUUACUCUCGUUAAAAGAUGCUUUGGGGUUGGAUUUGUCAGGAAACGAUCUUGUUUGCGUCACAAACCGGUACUCGAUUUAAACACCCGCUGAGCAGAAAGAGAGGUAAACAGAGGCACCAAAGGCUCAUCCAACAAGAGCAAACAUCCUGAUGUUAGUGCAAAAGCUCAGCAGAGACUCCAGGAAAGAAAUGUUGAAGUUACUUCAUCCACCGAUCAGCUGACCUUGACGCCAUCGGCCUGAUUUGCAUGAUGUUUGCAGGACUUUAGUGGAAACGCAAACAGACGGCUGCAGGAACUAUUGAACUCCACAAAGAGAAGUUCCUGGAGCUAAAAAUUCCUGGUAUUUUUGGUCUAAAUACGCCGAAUGAUUGUCGAUCUAAAAUAUGCAAAGAGUGAAGUCUUCUCUUUCUGAGCGAAGAUGACAGGAGAUCAGUUUUUGUGCAUGAAGCCCACAUUCCUCCGUCUUUUUAGUGUAAAAGGAGGAUUUUAUUUCCUCUUUCCUGCGGUGCAGAAAUUGUUAAACUCUGUUUGCAGGGUCAGUUUUGGUUUCAUCCCUUUCAGAGAUGAGCCCUUGAGAAAAAGAAAGACAUUUUUGCCGUCCAGAAAUGUGAUGGCUGGGGUUGCUGAGCGCCGGGGUGCUGUGCGCAGUGGGCGGCGAGGACGGAGGGUAAACACAGAGAGUGGCCUCUCAUUUACCCCUCUUCUUCUUCUUCUUCUUCUUCUUCUUUCAUCCCUCCUCCAAAUCCCCCCAGCCCUCUCCAUGUCUUGUUUUGGCUAAUCUUCACAGGCCGUGGUGGUGGUGGUGGUGGCAGAGACUGUUUGAGGGGGAAGGUUCAGUGAAGAGACCCCAGAAGGACCCUGUGGCCAGAGUGCACCCCCCGUAGCCCUCAGUUCUUUGCCCUCCUUGAAGGAUGGAUCCGCCGCUUGCUUCCUGGCUGCUCCCAAAAUACAUCCCCCUGUGAGCUUCCUGUGCAUAAUUGUCCCCAGCUGGAACAUUGGGGAUAAAUAGGGCCGUGGAGACAACAGAUUUGUAAUUUGGGGUGAGAGUGAAAAGGAGGAAAAUUGGUAGCAGGCCACAGAAAUUAGCAUUCUUUUGGCUUUAGAGGGCAUUAAACAUUAAAUAGCUGCAAAGUCCCCUAAGUAUUGGGGGUCUUGGGCGGGGGAAGGUGGAGGAGGGGGGUUAGAGAUCAGAGCUUCAGAGGGUUUUUGUUUGGGCCGCAGAUGGCUGGGUUCACUACACUAAGUACCUCCCGCAGCGUGGAGCCCAGGAGACGGUGCAACUCUAUUAUUAAUGAUUGUUUGGAAGGUUUUUCUGCGCUUCACCGGCUUUCACUUAUCAGCUUUCAUGUCUCUGUUACACUGAAACAUGCUACGAGCUGUUUACCGCACAAUGGUGAACACAAAAAACAUGGAGACCGAUAUAAACAAACAAGGAGCGCGUGGAAACGAGGGAUCAGCUGGUGGUUUUGGUGCUGAAAGUGACGAAUUAUGAACCAGAGGGUGAAACUUGGUCGGAUUUUGAUUCGGGUCGACAGAUUCCUGCGGUUCAAAACUGGACUGCUGUUUUUGUCCCAGUUUAAGAGAACCAAAGCAUGUUGACAGCUGCUAUAAUAGAUGGUGAAAUGUCCCUUUUCAGCUCAUUACUACUGCUGGUCUCCUGGUGCGCCAGAUACCAAACAGUCAACAAGCGCUCUGGCAUAUAUUUCUGCACGUCACGUCUACAAAAUGACAUCUUUGUCAUAUUUAAAGAGCUUUUUUCUUCUGUCAAGGUUUUAUUUACGAACAUGAUUCAACUUCAGGGUCAAAGUCCAGCGUCCAGGAUUUCCAGAAAAAAAGUCAGAUUUUGAUCUAGCUCCGGCUCAGAGAGGUUAUCAGUACAGCUGAGCAAUUUUAUCGAUUCUGGGACAUAAAUCAAUAUUUUUUUCCCGCCAGAAAGUAUAAAUUUUUCAGCCACAAGAAAAAUUAAGUCUCGUAAAAAUCCCCUUAUUCUGCCCUCCCCCACAUCCUGUUUGCUUUGCAGUAAUCUGGGAUUUCCACCGCAUCCAGAACGGACGUACGCCAAUUCCUACCUGAUCCAUUUGUGAGGCGAAUAUUGUGGUGGAUUACGGACAGCAGGAAUCACGAGAACUCACAAGAACCUGCAGAGUCACAUGCAAUUACGUGAUAACAAGUUGUCUUUAUCCACAUAGACAUAUAAGCAGUAGAUUGUGUCCUUCCAGAGGAGGAAAUCUACUUCUAGACUUCUAGAAUCAGCAUCUCCUCAUCCAUGGUGUCAUCGGGGUGAAAUGACUUCUAAAAACCGGAUGUUUUAUUUUGUGUCUGUGCCCGACUUCCUUUCCAGCACGGGUUAAUCUGUGCUGAAUUUAUCCGCCAUGCUCCGGCGUCCAGAAAAACUAAAACUCUUGCGAUCAGCUGAGGAACAGAAAGAAGCCGGUGGAAAUUGACACGUUAACUUGAAUGGUUACGAUCGGAGGAUACAGCCCUUUCGUAGCCGUUCUUGAUGCGGUGGAAAUUGGGGGUAAGAGCGAUUAGUUCAGAGAGAGGAGACUCAAGAAAAUGGUGGGGAAUUUAACUCCAGCAACGUCAUGCUUGAAACCAGGUGUGUGAGAACACAAAGGUUUUCAAAGAAAGAAGGAAAGCUUUGAUUUAGAUUUAAAAUUAGUGGUUUGCAAGCGGUAUCACACAAACGUGAAAUCUUCUGGAAAUACAACCUAAAACGUCACCACCUGGACACGGUAACGCAUGUUGGUUGAAUAUCGUGUAUUGUAUCGUGAAAUUUGAGUAUCGUUACAGCUCUAGUUUCCAGCAUCUCUAGUCUAAUUUAGGCGGCUGAGGCUCAAACGAAAAGUCAUGUUUCGAUCAAAAGUCUGUCCGCAUGCCAAAGUAACUUCCUCUUUGCACCUUUAACCUGUAUUUAUAGAUAAAGCUGCAGACUGAGGUUUCCAAGUCUUACAGGUGUCUAUCAAAGUCCUUCCUCUUUCUCAGACAUGUCACUAAAGUUUCUUCUCUUCAAACAUCAACCAAAGAAUUGCACAAAUGUAAAAGCUGCAGUAAAGAGUUCAUAAAUUAACGUUUGGAUGAUGGAUCGACUCUGAAAAUGAAGAAACUCACUAAAAGCUGUAAAAUGUUUAUGCGACAUCCAGGAUGGAAAAUUAGAACCGUCCAAACCUGCCAAGUCCUCCUGAAAGAAGAAUGAGACUGUCCCCGUCACGUUUGUGCGACAAAUGGAUCCCCAGAUUGAAAUUUCCCUCUGACAGAUUCUAAUAAAUUACAACUUCCUCUCGGGAAAAUUGAAAUAACAUUUUUUACAGUCGGAUCGCUCGGGUUGGUUUGUGGGUUUGUUUGUUUGUUCUCUGCAGGUCUCUUGUGGUGAAAGUGAAAUAUUAAACCUGGCUCCUGCUUCUGCAACCUGCUCAGCGUGGUCCCACCUUUCAUCUGGCGUUCGUCACCAUCGUGCGAAGUUGCAAAUGAAAACAGGACGUGAUAGACUGCCUGUCAUUUCUGCAUCGGCGUGAUGUGCUUUAAUUAAUUAUGCCGCGCGCGGAAAAGUCGGAGGAAAGAACUUUGAGAAGCAAACUUUUUCUCGCAGUCUUGCUGACUCGCAGCGUUGCGUCUCUCCUUUGAAGUGGCGGAUGAUUUGAAAGCUAGUGACCCCGACUUUUCCUCCCUCUUUCUUCCUGUUUCCCUCCCCCGCCCCUGCCUGAGUGCAGCCGUCUCAUCAAGGAGGCUAAAACCAAAUUAGCAGCCUCUUAGUCAAUCACAUGUGGAUCUCCUGCUCAUUAUGCUUCUCCCAGCGUUCACCUUCAGCAGACUCCUCGCACAGAUCAUAUGCACCUUGCUUUCGUUUCACGCUGUCAGCAAACGAGCGCUGAGUGCAUCCUAACUUGAUUUGUGUCUUUGUAUUCACACUUCCCAUCGCAAAGUGCUCCGACCUGAAAGGCCCUGAUCUCUCCCAAGUGUUUCAAAUGCAAUAAGCUCUUUGUUUAGAGAAAAGGAAAUAAAAAGCCUCUGUGGGAAGACUCGUUUCUAUAAAAACGUCUCAAGGAAGCUCCUCAAGUGUUGCCAAGUGACCUGCUGUAAAGACAGCCUGUCACGGCGAGUUUAAAUCAGGCUGCUUAUGAAGACAGACAAGUGGAAAUGAGAGAGGUUGAUGCUCUGAGAGAUGUCGUCAAAGUUUAUCAUUUCACAGUGCGAUCAUUUACUUCUUUUGGGGGUCUACAGAAAACAGACCUGAGGUUGAAGUUCAGGUUGUGAAACAGAAACAGCAUCAUCUCAAAAUCCACAAGGACUUCAGUCACGUCCUUGGAGUUAAAAGAUCCAAAAUAACCACAGACUUGAAAAUAAUGUACUUUAUAAAGUAGGGCAGGGCGAUAUGUCCUCAAAUCAAUAUCCCAAUAUAUUGAUCAGUUCACCCCAUAACGAUAAAUGGACGAUAACUCCUCCACCAGCUGCUCACCCCCUCCCACAUUAACUUCGUCUACUUCAGCCGCUCCAACUUUCUCUCCGUCCUCCAUCUCCUCACCUGUCUUUCCCUCUUUGUUACAGACUGGAUGGGGUGGAGUCACGUCUCUGACGUAGGACAGCGUCUUAAAGGGACAUGAGACCAUAGCCUACCUACACACAUCCAAAACCAAAUUUGAGUUAUUUAUUUUUUUGACACCGAAUAUACUGAUAUGGGCAAAAUGACGUUGGUAAAUUACGCUGUAAAUUACGGUAUCGGUAAAUUUUCAGUUUUUGUUCGUUCGUUUCAUUCGUUUGUUCGUUCGUUUAUUGUCCACAAGUGGAAAUUUGUCUUUAGUCUCAUCGUGUACAAAAAACAGAUCAACAGCAGCAACAGACACAUAACAAAUACACACAAAACAGAGGGAGGACAACAGUGGCAUGUACUGAACAUAACAGGCAGAUCUAACCAGACAUAGGCCUGCUUUCAUUCAGUGCACUGAUGGCGUUAGUAAUGAAUGAGUUUUUGAAGAGGUUAGUAUUUGCCUUAGGAACUUGAAAACAUCUGCCUGAACGAAGUCUAACGAACUCACUGUACAGUGGCUGAGAAGGAUCAUUUAACUAUCUUAACAGCUUUUUUUACCUAAUCACUUCCUUGUAGAUACAGCCGAAGUGUUUCUGUGGCUUCCUUAUGAUGAUGUUUAUCGCCCAGCCCUAGUAUAAAGGAUAUAUAGGGAGUCUAAAGAGUGUCACAUCAUUUUGCAAAAUUCAUAUUUAAGACACAUAAAACCCCUUGUGCUUAAAGUCACAUCCUUGUAUUGUCUAGUCUAGGAUCUCAUCUACAACUCAUGUGCAGCAGAUACACCUGCAGAAACAAAAACACUAAACUCCUGUUGAGAAAGUUGGUUUGCAUGAUAAAGGAUUUUUGUUGAUAUCUGAUGUUUCAUUUUGGCGGAUACUAAUGCUUAAUUUCUACUGUUAAGAACAACACGUCUCUCCUGCACCAUAAAUGACCUCUUAUUAACACCGUUUGUUUCAGAAACAGACAGAAAACAAGACAUAGGCAGAUAUAUUGAGAAGUAAAGUCUCUCAAAGAUAGUGUCAAACACUACAAAUAGUUUGUAGAAGCUCUACCUCUUAAUAGCGUGGCGUAAAUUAAUACCUCAUCUUAGGUAGGAGAUUGUACCAAAUUAUUUUGUGCAUCCUCAGAAAUAAGUUUCAUUCAUGCACAGUGUUGCACGGUUGGCUUGUGCUGCACCUGUGCAGAUAAAAUAUGAAUUUGUGGAGGUCAGUGUGACCUAUCACAGCACAGCAAGUGAGGUCUCAUAAGUGCACCAAACUGUAGAUUAAAUCCUCAUAACCCAACAUUUAGUCUUUUAUUUGGUGGUUAAAAAGUCGUUUCUAAAGGAGUAGAAAACGGAUUGUUUCUCACCGUUGUGAGAGAGAUCUUAGUCUUUCAUUAGAAUAAGCAUCGUCUCGUUGAGUGUUCCUGCCACACUCAGAUUGUCCUUGGAGAUGAGCUCAAUUGCCUCAGAAUUGCUUUUUCAGAACUCUCGGAGUUUGAUGCCAAACAGGAGGUACGAAAAAAAAAAAAAACAGCCUCCUCACUUUCUCCUGUUGGCUCAGUUCACCUCAGUCCUCCAAAGUUUGCCCACAGUGAACAAAGACAGGGUGAAAUAUGGGACUAGCACCUUAAAUCCAGGAAGUAUCAGCUGAAGCUUUUCCACAUAUUCCUCCUGCCAGUUAUGUCAGCGGCAGACAAUUUUCAGCAACACUCUGGCAGCCUUACAGAGCCUCACAGAGAAAAGCUGUGUGUUACAGCUGAUAAUGAGGUGUUAGUCAAGACUCUACCUUGGUGAAAAACCUUGUUGGUGAGUGGUUUCCUUUCAGUGAAAUGAGUAAAAAAGCAGCUUUUGUCACAGGCUUUUAGUCCUGUAACACCUUAUAUAAGAGCUGUUAGAACCGUGAUUUCUUUUUUUGAAGAGAGCGGCCGAUGCUUCGCUGAGCGGCGGAUAACAAUGCGGUUUUAACAAGCAACACUCAUUCAUGCCAAUGACUCAAAAACCCUCUUUGUGUUUUAUUCUACCAUUACUCGGAAAAUGUUCUUUAACUUUCUAGCAAACAGAUAAAACAGCAGAGUCUAACCGGAGCUGGUUAAACGAUUAUUCAUCUUUUAUUAAUUUAUUAGAAUUUGACUGAAAAUUAUCGUAUUCCUCAUCCUUGAGAACAUGUUUUAUCCGUACAUCUUGAAGCUCUUGUUGUACAUCUUUGUUUUGCACGGUUACCAUGGUUACAGAUACAGUUGUGAAGAUGCUUUUCACACAAACAAACCAAACAGAUCUUCGGUCUGAAGUUUGAAGCCGCAGCGGUGAUGACAUUUGUGGUCAGAGCAUGCAUGUAAGCGCUCAGCGGGCACACACACACUCAUUAACGCCUCGUGUUGCGGACAAAGCCGAUAUGCUGAUAUGAUUAUGCCGUCAGCGAAGGGUGAGUGUGCUCUGUGAUUAAUUGUCGCCUCAGAUUCUCAUGUCCGUCUCUUUCUUUCUCUCACUCGCUUGUUUUUGUCCAAGAAAGCAAACUAAUGAGAAAACAAGUACAGGUCCUGAUAAAUUGCCUGUUAGUGGAAGGUCAGACGAGCCAUCUGGAGGACCUGACAGAGCCUGUUAUAGUGAUACCAAGUGUGUGUGUAUGUGUGUGUGUGUGGGUGCUCACAAUAAUAAGGCUAACAUGCAGACCUAUAGGCUCUCUGUGUGAAACAGUGUCAUUAAAGCCGAGGAAACAGACAUGUUCUCACUCCGAGAUCUUUAAAUGAGGCAGCUCCGUCAGCAGACUUCAGAUAUCUCCACCCAAGUUCUACUCUCCACUCACUUUUAGACAUGCUGGGAUUUCAGGGAUUCACAGUCAGUGAACUCGACUGUCUUUAGACCCUAAAAACUACAAACCAAGUGGCUUUGUCAAGGGUUAAGUGGAUCUGAACAUCUCUAAAACGGUAGGUGUCGAGAGCAAACAGGGGAGAUGUACUGUGCAGAUCACCUGAUGAGGUUGUAAACAGAAUACAGCGUUAUACAGUCGCCAUGAUGAGCACAAGAAAAGUAGAAAAUCAUUGCUCCUAUUGUGUUUGAUUGUUACUCUAAUUGGGAUCACAUGCAUGCUGGUAAUUACAGAUGUUAUUUGGAGAUCCUGUCAUUAUGUAUAUCAUUAAAUAAGACGUCACAGACAUCACUUACAGACACUUCAGCUCUUACAAAAUUCAGCUGUAAGAGUUCUGAUGAGGGCCAGAGGGCGAGAGCGUAUAACGCCAGUUUUAGCAUCGCUGCAUCGGCUCCCCGUCUGUUUCAGGACUGAAUUUAAAAGUUCCUCUUUUAUUAGUUUUUAGAUGUAUUAAUGGUCUUUGCCCCUCUUAUUUAUCUGACUUACUUCUAUCAUAUCAACCCUUGUGGACCCUUUUAAGGCCUUUUAACCUUUUAACCCAAAAUUAAAACAAAAACACACGGGGAGGGAGGCGGCGCUCACUUCUAUGGUCCCUGGUUGUGGAACAGCCUGCCGGAGAUCCUCAAGACUCACCUCUUUAACCAGACUUUUUACUGAUUACCUUUUUAUAUUUCUCUUAUUGCAAAUGUUCAUUUUAAUCCAAGUUCUGUUACGGCUGUGUGUUUGUUUAGUGUGUGUUUUUCCCCUUUUGUCUCUCCAUAGCUGCCCAGGUGAAAUCACUUGAGUGCCAAUCAGACUCACCUGGUGCUGGGAGUCUAAAAGCCCAGAGCUGCCUGCAGUCUGGAGAGGCAUUUGGUGGGGAACUGCUGCCCUGCUUCCUCUCAUUUGUGUUGUGGGUGCUUUGUGUCUAGUUUGCAAUUUUGUUAAUUUGUCACAAUAAAUCACGUGUUAAACUUUUGAAGGUGUUUUGAUAAUUUGAUGGGUCAAAAGUUGAGGAUUGUUGUUAGCCCCAUAGGGCCGCCUAAGGGUGGGGCGUAACAGUUUAAUGUUUAUUUUAUGUCAUUUUAUUAAUUAUUGUUCUUAGUCUUUUUCUUAAUUCCUGUCAUAGAGGUUUUUACUUCUUUUACCCCUUUUUUAUAUUGUAAAGAACGCUCACUUAUUUGUUCAUUCAAUAUUAUUUUCUUGUUUUAGUCCAUCAGGUUUUACUCUCUUUUUACAAUUUUUUAUCUUUUAUCUCCAGUGUCUCCAGGGUCGGGUUUUAUUGUUGUUAAUUGUUGUUUUGGUCUGAAAAGUGCCCUAAAAAUAAAGUUGAAUUUGACUUUGAGAUUCAGUGGUGUCAGUCCGUCAGUAAAGGGGAGCUUGUUUUUCUCCAGAAUGUCUCUGAGUGGUUAGGAGACACCGUCCACGCUGGAUAAUGGUUUAUAGUCUGGUUCUGUUGGCGUCAGCUGCUUUCAGCGUGCAGCCACGCCUCGUCGAUAACGAAGGAAAAGGUAAAGCUACUUUAAAGUGCAACAUGGAUGCUCACUUACUUUUGUUGUUUCCCUCUUUUUCCUCCCGAUGGAGAUGCAUGAGAGAGGUGCAAAGAUGCCUGGAAGAGAGAGGAGAGAAAGUUUAAUGCUAUGCUGCACCCGUGCAACGAAGAUUGAAAUAAAACUAAAAUAUCAUAAAAGGCAAUGAAAGAAAAUAUAUCUAAGGAUGAAUAUAAAGCAGAAGAUCUUUAACUUCUGCAGCCGUAAAUCUGAAUGCAUGUGUUUGGGAGCUAAAAGGAGCUUUAGAAGAAUCCUGCAAAGACUUUGUGAACGUGAACUGUUGCACCAUCUGUUGUUGACAAAAAUAGCAGGACUCCCUUUCUUUCCUCUUUCGAUGCAGCUCCUGCCUCGUCCUGUCAAUUCAGAGUUCAGCAGCCGAGGAGUCCAGAAUGUUAAUGUUUCCAUUAUCAUUGGAGUGAGAAGCUGCUUGUACUGUGAAUCGCUAAGUAGCGUCCAGCAAAUGGGAUUGCCUCAGAUGUCAUCACAUGUUGACAACAUUGGCAAGACAAACUUUGGUCACAUGAUUACAGCAGCGGGUCGAACAUGGAGGUUAAAACUGGGGGACAAGAGUCAAGUACGCUGGAUUUAACUAAUCUGAAAUACACAAAGUAAGGGGCUGUCCAAACACUCAUCUGUGCACAGUGGGUUAAAGAAGACCUGCAGGGCAUGAAAAAGGUUGGAUUAUUCGAGAGCGGAGUCAGUCUCUGAUAUCUGUGACCAUAAUGGUCAGCAGUGAAGUGCCCAUGAUAGAGAGCUUGGUGAAACUCUUGGUCUGGAGUUUCUGGGUCAUGCAGGGCUGAGGUGGCGCAGGUAGAUAGGGGGGAUAGUCCUGUUGGGUCCACAUGGAUCAGGGAUUGACCAUCAGAUUGUUCCGCGUUACUGAUAAAUCCAGAAUCAGGAAGUAUUUCUCAUCUACACCAACUGAUACACAGUCAGGAGUUCACAUGUGGUGUUUUAUUUUGAAAUACCGGAUGACAUCCACGGUUUUCUUGAUUGACUUCCUGUCUACAACGAUCUUCUCUGUGUGGAUUGACGCGCAUUGGAAGCAUAGAGCAGCAAAAAUCGACUCGCUGUGUAUCUUUAGCAGAGCUGCUCUUGACACGAUGCUGCGACGGAGCUGAGACGCAUCCUGUACGCUUUGCUGCGUGAUACGCGAUACUGCUGCUACGUCCAAAUAUGCAUCCUGUAUGUUUUAGUCUUGAGCCCUCAUCUUCUGGCAUCCCUAGAUCAUACCCGUGCAUGCAUACAUAACUAAAUAACUCCCUUAACUAACCCCCCCACCUCCACCUCUGAGGUAACACGCCACCUUUGCAUCAACUAAACCUCAUUCUGCACGCUGUGAGGCCCGACAUCAGGCGUAUAAUGAGGCUCUGAGAUUCAUCAGGAAUAAUCAAUCAAUGAAGUCAACAUUUUAGGAGUGUUCUGCAUGUUUUUCUGGUCAAAGCAGAAACACAGGCUUUUUCAAUCCACUUUAUAAUGGAGGUACUUUUGUUUCCAAUUUAGGAAACAAAUAGAUAGAAAACCAUAAUAUGAUUAACUUGGGUAGAUGCUCUGCUGCUGCUGCUGCUAUUAUGAGUUUAAGACAUACAGUAAAAGAAGGAGCCAUGGUUACAAAGGAAAACUGCAUCUGCGGUUGGUGUGGGUUAAUCUUACGAUUAGAAGGAUCGUGUAUCUAAUGGGGACACCACUUUCCAUUUGUAUUAUGAUGCGGGAUCAUGACUGGAGUCGAGGUCUGUUGAGGAUGCUUUGUUUCCUGCCUGUCCUGAUGGAACAGAGUCAUUGAUAUUCGAGGAGGACCGCCCCUCACAGUCCCGCAGUCCCCUCUGAAGUGCUUAUGAAUUCAGAGUCGGAGGAACAAUAAUCAUAAUUGCAUCUGAUUGUUUAUCUGUGUUGCGUAUUUGUCUGACUUUCACCAAAUGUCAUUAAAUCUGCUGCGGCACGAAUUCACCCAAGGCCUCCUGCAGAAGAAGAAGAAGAAGAAAAUCUGUGCAGAAACAAUUACCUUCCCUCCUCGGGAAAUGAGGUCAUAAUAACUGUCGAGACCCAACAACUUAAUCUUACUGGUGAUCAACACGGCCAUGCCUCAGCGUCCUCUACCUCUAUUAGCAUAAAUGAGGCGGUAAUGGAAGGUAUUACCAUACAAGAAAACCCACUGCAAAACAACUCCAUUAGCUCCUCUGGAUCUGGUUUGUUUCUCCACCGCUAAGCAGGCGGAGGCAGCAGACGACGGUGUGAAACAUGCGCGGACGUAUUCUCCGCUUAUUUAAAACAUAAAAAUAAAUGGAGAACAUAUCCAUGUCCGUCUGAUUGUCUGACAAGUUCGGGUGACUCAGAGCGACUGAACAAAUAACAGUCUUGACGUAUACGCCGGGUAAUAGAGGAAUAAUUUGGUAUGAGUCUGAAAUACAGAGCUCGGAGUUAUGAGUCACCUCUGAAUGAGAUUUGAAGGAGGAAUAUUCGGAAAUUUAAAACCAUAAUGGAGGUUUUUCAGUUAUUUUUAUACGUAUAAUUGCACUUUAGUGUUGGAGGAUUUUCAUGGACCACUUUAUGCACACGGUCAAUCAAUGCAGACGUUUAUUCUUAAGACUUAGAAGUAGGGUAGGUAGGAAUAUGUUACAGAAGCAACUGUUUUCGUGGUGUAUCUACAAAAAAUCUUUUAAUAUCAGUCAAUAGUUAUUAGUUGAACAGCUGUGCAGGACCAGACCAGUGGAGUCAUGAGAGUGGCUUUCUUUCUCUGUAUGCUCUCGGAGAGGUGGUCACAUCUUUAAAUCUGUAGAGAGACACAGUGGGUCAUGUUUUUGUCUCAUCUGAUAUCUCCUUUUUACUGGUACAGGUUUAUUCCCCCUUUUUUAAUAUCAACACAGAUUUCUACAGCAGCACGAACAGUUUAAAAACUGCUUCAACAAACUUGCAGCUGCUAAAUAAACUGUAUUUGAGUUUUAUCCCCUUGCAUUAAAGGAGGGGUAGGCAGGAUUCGUGUCGUUCAUGAACCCAAACAAAGUUAGCGUGCUACAAUAUCGGACAGUAGAAACCAACCAGAAAGUUCGGAAAAUCGUCUGAAUCCUCCUUUGGCCACGACUGCCGACACAAGCAAGAAAACGAAGUAAAUACCGGAGACUCUGGAGGAAUAACGGGCGCUUAAAAUGGAGGUAGACCGGACAAGAGCUAAAAAGCCGGGUCAACAUAAACGAUGGGGGACGCUUGGGGAUCUUGGUGACCCUGUAACCUUUCUGCUGGACAGGUAAACCGCUUUAACAAAGUAAGACAAGUGUCUGUAACAGAAGUGUUUCUUGUCAAACGGACCUGCUGUAGCGUGUUGUAGCGCCAUCGCUAAACUGUCCUCCCUCGGGUCCUGGACUAUGUCACUUUAUCCUCGUUGUAGAAGUCCUGCAAACAUUGUGUUUGCUGGUAGUCUGUUGGCAUCUACAGUAGCACCAAUGCUUUUGACUUUCACCUGGA
Non-coding RNA from Xyrichtys novacula (pearly razorfish), 39668 nucleotides. The record is from the annotation of a GenBank genome assembly. Lineage: Eukaryota; Metazoa; Chordata; Actinopteri; Labriformes; Labridae.